Molecule: ribosomal RNA, 497 nt
Filed under: uncultured bacterium
Lineage: Bacteria
Description: partial 16S ribosomal RNA
Rfam family: Bacterial small subunit ribosomal RNA
Source: RNAcentral
GAUGAACGCUGGCGGCGUGCCUAAUACAUGCGAGUCGAGCGAACAGAUGAGGAGCUUGCUCCUCUGACGUUAGCGGCGGACGGGUGAGUAACACGUGGAUAACCUACCUAUAAGACUGGGAUAACUUCGGGAAGCCGGAGCUAAUACCGGAUAAUAUAUUGAACCGCAUGGUUCAAUAGUGAAAGACGGUUUUGCUGUCACUUAUAGAUGGAUCCGCGCCGCAUUAGCUAGUUGGUAAGGUAACGGCUUACCAAGGCAACGAUGCGUAGCCGACCUGAGAGGGUGAUCGGCCACACUGGAACUGAGACACGGUCCAGACUCCUACGGGAGGCAGCAGUAGGGAAUCUUCCGCAAUGGGCGAAAGCCUGACGGAGCAACGCCGCGUGAGUGAUGGAGGUCUUCGGAUCGUAAAACUCUGUUAUUAGGGAAGAACAAAUGUGUAAGUAACUAUGCACGUCUUGACGGUACCUAAUCAGAAAGCCACGGCUAACUACGUG